CUGGGAGAGUGAGGGAGGAGAAGGAGAGAGGACGGAAGAAGAGGAGGAAGAAGUCAUGAAGGACCAGAACCACAUGGCCAGGAGAAACUGCAGGCAGGCUCCACCAUACCUGGCUUCUAUGACUCAAGAGUCAAGACACAGAACUACUCAGUCAACACGGUGCUGAGACUCAAGUCCUCGCCCUUGAAAGCCUGUCUCUCCAGCCCUGCCAUGGCACUGAGCACAUCCCAGGCUCUCUCCAGACUUUACACUUCAGAACUUGAAGCCUGAUAACAGAGGAACACGCUCUGGGACUGGAUGGAGUUACUCACAAGCAGCUAUCGUGAGGAAGGCAGAGAAGCAGUCAUCCAGCCCUGGAGGCGUCUGGGAAGGUCGUUGCUUUUAGUGCCAGUCUUCUGUUCAUGUUAAGAAUCAAACUUGCAGCCUUACCCAUGCUAGGUAAGCAUUCUAUCACUGGGCUAUAACCCCUGCCCUCCAUUUCCUGUAUUUUUGUUUACCACGGUAGAAAAUAUCAGCAGUGGUCUCCACCACUAAUACCUUUCAGUUGUAACUCGAUUCUAGUCAAAGUAAACAAAGAAAAUAAAACAAACACAGAGAAGUUAUUUAAAAUAUUUAUUUUCUCAACAAUGUUUUCUUGUCUUCCUUCAGUAUGGCUUGGAGGAAGACGGUUAUUUAAAAACCAGAGUUUCAUGCUCCGGAAUACCGUAUUUCCCUUUAUGUUCAUUGAAGAGUUUCCUUAGCUCCUCCAUGUACGUCUGAUGCAGCUCAUCAAUCUGCUCUGGGGUCGGGUGCAGAGUCUUCUGAACAGGGAUGGGGCGGCCAACUGUGGAAAACAGAGCUCGAGUCAUCCCUGAGGAACAGCCACCACUCCACCGCAAGCCCGGGUCUCCCGUGGGCAGCUGAGCGCUGGGCUGCCAAUCGGCUUCCCUCCAGCCCACUGGCUCCAGUCCUCUCCUCAGCUCACUGGCUGCCUAUCUCGGUCACACCAUCCCACUUGACAACAAAUAAAAGAGUUUCCCUUCUCAGCAGACACUGAGCUGUCGUUCUGAUGGUUUGACUUCUGAGUCAAACGAGCUGCUGUGCCAACCGCAGCUGUGCGCAGAGUAGGCGUCGCUGCGAGCCUCGUCACCCUCAUUCUCCUCUGGGCACAGCUGACAGCAAGCCCACAGGGUUCUUAUUGUGACCGACUGUGAAAUGCCCAGGUCACGUGACAUCCCUCUAUUAUGACUUUUUUUUAUAUCUUUUGAAACAAUUGAAAAUGUCGCUUAUCUUUACAGCGAAGCCGUUGUGCGAGAAAGUCAUAUAAUCGCAAAACUGAAAGCAACCGCAGCUCAUUAGGAAAACGGUUACAUAAGCUGAGCGACAUUUCAGUUAUUCACUGGAAUCUUAGACAGCUAUCUUUUAAAAAGAAAUAACAAAUAAAGUGGCACACACGAUGUCUAAAAUGUCCAAGAAAAGUUGCAAAAUGAGGCGGGAUCCUAUCUACGAAAAAAUAUAUAUUUCUAGGAGCACCAGUAUUUUCAGUGUACAGGAAAAAUCUGGAAAGAUCAACAUUUUCCUCUGGGGGCAGGGUCAGGGAUGGGGAAACGGCCACAUUCAUUUUAUCUAUACCACCUGAAUAUUUCACAAAGGAAACAAAGCAUCUGUUUUAUCUGUAUAAUUAAAAAAAUUCUGAUUGGUUGUAAA
Non-coding RNA from Rattus norvegicus (Norway rat), 1686 nucleotides. NCBI's taxonomy places the organism in Eukaryota, Metazoa, Chordata, Mammalia, Rodentia, Muridae. The record is from RefSeq and is a predicted model, not a curated record.